GUACGGUUGUAACCUCCAUGUGGUUUUUUAAUUUGCUUUUUUACCCAAUAAUAUAUUUUGAACAUCAUUUUAAGUUAAUACACUUUUGGACUUCCCUGGCUUUUGGUCCACUGGCUAAAGUUAAUACACUUUUGGUCCACUGGCUAAGACUCCAUGCUCCCGAUGCAGGGGGCCUGGGUUUGAUCCCUGGCCUGAGAACUAGAUCCCAUGUACCACAACUAAGGCCCAGCACAGCCAGACGAAUAAAUAUUUAAAAAACAAAGUCAAUACAUUUUCAUCUACAGCAUCAUUUUAAGUGAAAGAAUAGAAUUCCAUUGUAGGGAUAUAACAUAAUUUGUUUAAAGAAUCAUCUCAUUACCACGCAAGACUUUGGAAUCUGCUGCUACAGUCUGACAUAGUGGUUGGAGAAUUCUGUUUCAGAUGGAUGUUUUGGCUCUCUCAGCUCCAUAGGCCCAUGCCACGAACCAAGGACAACAAGCCCAGGAAGAAAAAAAGAUCUACUGAACAGUUAUCAUGCUACUGACUCUAUUUCACUCUUCUCUUCUGGGCACCGAAGAAUGUUCUCAUUAUUCUCUGUCUUCCGUGGCAUAUAAGAGUUUCUAGCUGAGUUGCUCCACCAUUAAUUGUAUGUCUUCUUAACUUGGGAAAUUCUUCAGUGAGUGAACAGUCAUCCAUCUUCCUAUGGCUUACUUGAAUCAGAGGGACUUGCAGGAUGCUAACACAGUGCUGGGUUUCAGGAAAAAACCAUCUUUGCGAAUAAAUAAAGCAAGAACUUAACAGAACAUUAACUCCCUCUUUGCGAUGUGCCCAUGAGUCCCUCUAAGAAUGUGAGGUUAAGUAUGUAUAUCAAGAUCCCUCUUUAGAGGUGAUCCAUGCGAGUUGUUACCGCGAGCCUCAUUUCAUUUGGUGGAGCAGCUGCCAGCCAGCCAAGCAAGGCCAUGGUCAAACCAUGGGAGCCUUUCUCUUCUGGUCAUCAGUUUUUGUUUUUUUUUUUAAGCCAAAGUCUCUUCUAGGAGAGAGACUUCUGCUAUUUGCCUUUAUCUUUAAUUUAGAAAUAUAUAUUAAGUAUAUUCCUCCUUUCUCCAUACAUUUGAUACGAGGAGAUCUGCUAUUGGCUCUCCAGCCUUUAGUUCUCUUCCUUCAUAAUAACUUCCUGUUUAAGAAAACCACAACUUGGACCAUUCUCAGCCAUGCAGAUUUGAUGUGAGGGGCUGUAUAGCCACCUAUGAUUAGAACCUGAUUUCCCUUCCCCUGAACACAGUAAUUGGUUCAAAGGUCGUCACAGGACUUAAGUAAGUCCAAUCAGAGGUCCUUUGAUAGGGAUUCUGGGACACAGCAUCCUUUCUCUUCCGUCUGUGUUAAUGAGGAAGCAUGUUCCUUUCCCCCAGGAGCUGCUGGUAGGCAUCUUGCAGCAAUGAGAAGAGCCAGCCUUAGGAUGAAGAGAGUAGAGAUGGGAAGAAGUGGAAUCCUUUGAGUUGCUGCAUCAGAUCUUUUUUUAAUAUUUAUUUACUUACUUGGCUGUGCCAGGUCCUAGUUGCGGCCCAUGGGAUCUUCCAUCUUUGUUGCAACAGGCACAAUCUUUCAGUUGCAGCAUGAGAACUCUUAGCUGUGGCAGGUGGGACCUAGUUCCCUAACCAGGGAUUGAACCCAGUCCCCCUGUGUUGGAAGUGCAGUGUCUUAGCCACUGGACCACCGGGGAAGUCCCUACUGGAUCAGAUCUUGCCCAAAGUCCAUUCUACAUCUGUCUCUUUCUAAUUUUGUUAUUGUUGUUUGAUCUUUAAGUUGUGUAUGACUCUGUGAUGCCAGGCUUCUCCGUCCAUGGGAUUUCCCAGGCAAGAGUACUGCACUGGGUUGCCAUUUCCUUCUCCAGGGGAUCUUCCCGAUCCAGGGAUGGAUCCCACAUCUCCGGCGUUGGCAGGUGGGUUCUUUACCACUGAGCCACCAGGAAAGCCCUCCCCUUCAAAUACAUGAGCUAAUAAAUUCUUUUUCUUUCUAAAGACAAUUUGGGAAAGAUUUCCUAAUGCUUACACCUGGCAGAUACCUAACACAAUUGAUACUAUUUGUGAACAAACUGCAGCAAACUAACACCUUUCUUUCCACUGAUGGCUUUCUUCUUAUUUACAAAUUCUUCCUCCUCUAUAACCCAUGGGGUUUUCUGCCUAUCAAACCCACACCUGCUUCUCAUCACUGCCUUUCUGCACGUUUCCUCUUUUCCAUGUAUCCCAAACAUCCAAACUCCCUUUCUUUUCAAAGCUGCCAUCCCCUCUCCAGCCCUGGGGAAUUUUCUGUUUCCAGGAGUGACAAAGACCUAGGACACAAUCGCCCCAUUUCCUUUUUCUUUUCUUUUCUAGAAGGCAGUCACUCGGGACUUUCAGACCUCAGGAAUUGGCUGUCACGCAUCUCGAGGAAACAUUCAUGGAAGCAAAAUUACAAACACAGGAUGCUUUCACGGUUGCAGAAAGCACUUGCUAUUGUUGUCUUUGAGCUGUAGGAUCUAGUUCCUGGCUGGUUCCAAGGUGUCACCCUCAUAUAACGUUGAAAAGCUGGCCUGAAAUGCUUAGCCAAGGAAAUUCAAGCUUGUGUCUCUACUAGGUCUGGGAAUAUUCUGAGUUGCAACCUAAACUUGCUUCCUCAUUUCUGUGGCAGGUAUGAAUUCUUUGGUCUCCUUAGAAGAGGAAAGAAAUUCCUACGUGGUCCCCAGAAAUUAUUUUUGUGGGCUUUGAGCCACCCUGCACCUACUCGAUGGAUAUCCCACUGCCCUUCUAUAAGAGCUCUCCAAAUCUGGUCCUUGUAAAUCCUACCCAGUGUAGGUAAAGCCUGUUGUUAUUCCUCAGCAUUACGUCUCUUCCUUCAUGGGAGGGGUACCCCAGUUCCUUCGGGAAGCCACCUCUUGCUGACUCUUAGUCAUGAGGUUUAGGUGGGAAUGCCCUUUGCUCUACAGGUGGGCUUUAUUAACUUAAACCAAUCAGCAGAGCCCACAUGUGAUGACAGUGAUCAGUUCAGGAUGGGCCCAUAAUCCCAUUAAAGCCAUAGAGACAUGAGGAAACAUUUGCUAAGUUCUCCCUCUAGACCUCAGCCUGGCUAGUGUCAUUUCCUGCAACUUCCUGGAUACCCCCUUGGCCUCAGACCCUGGAAGUCCUUCCUUUCUUUCUUGCCCAAAUCUUUCUGUUCUACUCAACUUGCCCUUGGUGCUUUUUCAAGAUACUAAUGUGUGUGCCUUUCUAACCAAUGUUUGGUUCUUUUACCUCUUGUUCUUGUAUCCCUGUUCUAAACCAGGGAUAGCAAAUAGAUUUCAUCUCGUCUGUCAACUCUGAUCAAUAAGUAUUAGGACUGAGAUCCAAGCUAAGAAAGAUUCUGAGGCUGCCUCUGGCUUCAGCGAGAAAGUUUCAUAUCCCAGUUAAGACACAGAUCUAUCUGAAGUCCACUCCCACUCACCUUUGUCAGCAGCUUCUUACUGGUGAUUGGAAUCGUGAUGUGGGCUGCGUGUGGUAUUAGCAGAGGGGUGUGUAGUCCGUGAGCGUCUCACCUGGUACUCUGAGCUGGUAUCUGUGUUUCAGAGACAGCUGACUCCGCCUUGACUACUGUUUUUGAUCUAACAUCUCAUCUAAGCCCUCUCUGAAUCCAGGAUCUGCUGGUCCCAUCUCUCCAGAAAGAGAACUUCCUGACCAGGGAUAGAGGAUGGAUCUGGAGUCGUCUGUUUUUGCUCUCUACCAUGUGAGAGACGGAGGAGUCAUAGCUAAACAUCUGCCCCUCACCCACUUCAAUCUCCUGUCAUCAGCUGCCACCAUGACUACAGAACAAAAACAAGGAGGAAAGAGGACGUAAUUCAGUCAUCUGAAAAUGGUAUUCGAGAAGCGCCACUUACUGACUCACCUGGAAAUAAAACGUCUUGACAUUUUGGGAGUCAGGAUGAGCUGCCCAUUCAGAUAAUUUUCUAUAAAUAUCUCCAGGCAUAGCCCUCAAGCCCCUCUUACUUCAUUUCUCCACACUCAAACAACUCACAGAAUAAAUUAUGAUGCCAGGGGAAGAGCCAGAUUUUGUGGAAACCAAAGCUUUGCAAUUUAGAGGGAGGCGGGCUCUUUCUUUAGAGAAGAGAAUUAAAAAUUGUGAACAACUAAACAUGAAGUUUAAUAUUUACAUGAAAUGGGAAAAGGAACUACAGCAAGUCACAAAAUUUUAAAAACUGACAAAUACUACAAAAAUCUAGAAAAAUAAUAAUACCAUCAUUAUUUGAUGGCUUGACACAUCUCUUUAAUAUCCUUCUCUCUAUAUUGAUUGGUGACAUACCUCUGUAAAGUUCUUUUUUAAUUUUAAUAUUAAAGAAAUAUUUAGUUUAUUUAAUAUCCAUUUAUUUAUUUGGCUGAGCUAGGCCUGAGUUCAGAGAAGGCAAUGGCACCCCACUCCAGUACUCUUGCCUGGAAAAUCCCAUGGACGGAGGAGCCUCGUGGGCUGCAAUCCAUGCGGUCGCUAAGAGUCAGACACGACUUCACUUUCACUUUUCACUUUCAUGCAUUGGAGAAGGAAAUGGCAACCCACUCCAGUGUUCUUGCUUGGAGAAUCCCAGGGAUGGGGGAGCCUGGUGGGCUGCCGUCUAAGGGGUCACACAGAGUCAGUCACGGCUGAAGUGACUUAGCAGUAGCAGCAGCAGGCCUGGGUUGCAGCACAUGGGAUCUUCGAUCUCCACUGUGGCAUGCAGGAUGUUUUUGGUUUUGGCAUAUGGGAUAUUUUUUGUUUGUUUGUUUCAGCAUGUGGAUUCUUAGUUGUGGCAUUUGGGAUCUAAUUUCCUGACCAGGGAUUGAAUCCAGGCCCCCUGCAUUGGGAGUGUGGCAUCUUAGCCACUGGACCACCAGGGAAGUCCCUGUACACCUUAUAGCAAGAUUACUCAGUCUUUCUUCUAGCCUGGUUGAAUAAAUAUUUUUAUUGAUAUGAUAGAAAAAGUUUUUCAGCCUCAUAACUGGUUACUGAUAAGUCAUGUAGUUUUUUUAAAUUGUCAAAUUUGGGAGAUCCUACAUCAACUUUCUUUUACAUAUAAGCUGUAAGAAUUCAUACGUAUCUCAAAUUCUCUUGCACAGGGACUAAUGUUCAAUACUUUUUGAACUGAGGACCCUCAUUAACCAGUUUGUCAUUGUUUGGGUAGAUUAUGAUGUCAGUAUGUCAUGCUAGAUCAAGAAGAAACAGAUAUCAAACAAUAUAAAAGCUGAUUCUUUCCUUUUAUUCAAAACUUCUCUCUUCUUUGUGAAUUACUUCCUUGGAUAUAAUUUGAAUAAAAACGGAGGACUUAGAAUUUGCUUCUUAAUGUUGGAAUAAUUUAUACUGAUCUUAUUGCUUAUUUAUGACUCCCCUUCUCUUCCUAUUCCUAUCGAGCUCCCUUCUGCACCCUGCAGGGCCUCAUCACAUGUGCAAACACUACAGUCCAUACAACCAAGCUUUAUCUAUAAACCCCAGCAAACUGCUAUGCCUUGGCUCCCUCUUGGGCCUAGGAGUGUGCAUUCCUAUUCCUAAG
Bos taurus (domestic cattle) is the source of this 5503-nucleotide long non-coding RNA. The record is from Ensembl. Lineage: Eukaryota; Metazoa; Chordata; Mammalia; Artiodactyla; Bovidae.